This 305-nucleotide ribosomal RNA is filed under the name uncultured bacterium. RNAcentral's name for it is "bacterial SSU rRNA". It matches the Rfam family "Bacterial small subunit ribosomal RNA", at positions 332 to 655 of the family's 1533-position model. The record is from RNAcentral.
CUUUGCCUACGGGGCGCAGCAGUGGGGAAUAUUGCACAAUGGGGGAAACCCUGAUGCAGCGACGCCGCGUGAGUGAAGAAGUAUCUCGGUACGUAAAGCUCUAUCAGCAGGAAAGAAAAUGACGGUACCUGACUAAGAAGCCCCGGCUAACUACGUGCCAGCAGCCGCGGUAAUACGUAGGGGGCAAGCGUUAUCCGGAUUUACUGGGUGUAAAGGGAGCGUAGACGGAGGAGCAAGUCUGAUGUGAAAAUCCGGGGCCCAACCCCGGAACUGCAUUGGAAACUGUUUAUCUAGAGUGUCGGAGG